This 1571-nucleotide long non-coding RNA is filed under the name Nicotiana benthamiana. RNAcentral's name for it is "long non-coding RNA (NBEN_LNC005019)". The record is from RNAcentral. Lineage: Eukaryota; Viridiplantae; Streptophyta; Magnoliopsida; Solanales; Solanaceae.
UGGAAUAGCAAGAAAUUAAUGAACGUGUAUUUUCUUAUCAGUCAACAAUGAUUAUUACAAAUGGAUGGGACCCCCCUUUAUAUAAUAGGGGAGUACUAAAUAAGGUACGCUUCUAAUUAUAGUAUGAAAUUAUAUUUGACAACUGAUUAACCACAGAGGACCAAUCCAUUCCGAAACUCACGCCAUGAUUUUUAGUCUGUUGCAGGUAUGUCGCUCUUUCCGUUACUGAAUUAUACAUGCAUCAUCUCGAAGUAUAUUUUCUUCUAACCUCGGUAAGUGAUAUCGACCUCGUUCUUGAAAAGGAACUUCGACUCCGAGCUCGAAGUCCUGGCCUUCCAACGUGGUAUUACUUUUUCAAUCAAAGGACGAAAUCGAAUAGCCUCGAUUUCUACCGUUACGCAUGGGCAUGUAGUAGAUUACAAAAUAAGAUCCUAGCUACUACCAUUACUCAAAAGAAUACCCGUUCCUAUGUAUAUGCGUGUCUUGUAGUUUCAUAUAGUUAAACAACUCUCUUUUAUCAUUCUAACUAGAAAAAAAAAAAUCACAUUUAGAAGUCUCAGUCUUAAUAUACCUUGUCUCCGUGGAAGCUACCUGGCUAAAACUGCUUUUCCUCGCUAACUCCUUUCAGUUAAAUGUUCUCAAUCUAUUCAAAUCAAUGAGUCUGAAAGUUAGCAACUUCAUCAUACCCAUUUCAAAAAGUUUGGAUUUUGGUCAAAGUUAAAGUUAACUAUCAGUCAACAGGGUCAAAACUCGAAACAAGUUUCAUAAGUGGUACGCCCCUAAGCUAAGAAAUUCAAAUAUAUGAUCAAACUCCAAUCUUAACUUAGAUUACUAUGUCAGAAUCACAAAAAAUGUGAAUUUUGAACGCUUGAAAUAUCUAGUUUUAAUCAUAAAAUCCGUGUGGAACCAUGUAUAUAACUCAAGGAAGGUCUUAGAAAUGUUACCUCAAAGUUCCAUGGUGAUUCCUAUUUUAAUAAGAGUGUAAAUUAAACCGCAUCUUAGAAGUCUGAAAUCAUAAAAAACAGUAGCUAGUUUUCAAAAAAUAUGUUCUUCAAAAUAUUUGAGGUUGACCGUGAUGGUGGAACCUCCUUCGCAUUCACGGAGCAUGAGCUAGCUGGGCUAUAUCACUUGCUCGGAAAAGGUCUCGCGAUCACAGAGACGUCCUGACUAGCUAGACCUCCGCUUUCGUUGACAAGGAAUCGCAAACACGAUGAGUUAAUUGGGUCAACAUCCUUGAGAUUGCAGCACAUACCUUCGCGAUCAAGCUUGCCUGGGACUUUUCUCUCGUGAUCGUAGAUUGAUUAGUGGGAUCUCGGUGCACCAGCAUCAACAAAAUUUUCAACUUUCUAAAAUGGUUUGAAUGUUCCAAAACUCACCUAAGCCCGAGUCUUUAUUGAACCACUUCAACAAGUCCCAAAUGGUAAAAUAAUUUGUACAAAGGCUCGAAACAUACAUUAGAAUGUGAAUACUCAAAACGAGGAUUUCAAUUGUUACAAGUCAAGAACUGUUGUGAAUCAUGAAAUAAUAUAGUAGAAUUAUAAACAAAAUUAAAAGUGUUGCUAUCACUUUUG